AUCUUGGUGGAGAUCCCUGCCUACUUGAGACUUUCCAAAACUCAUCGUGUUUCUGUAUGUCAAUGGAAAUCUAUUUUGGCUGAGGUUCUUUCUGUCUUUUAAUCCAAGUCUUUUACUGGCGUCUUUGCAUCUGUCAUCUGAUUUAUCCACUGAAGUGUGUUUCUGCAGAAUGAGGCCCUGUAUAAGGAUAGUAUAAAAAAGGUAUGCAAUACUGCUGGACUUCAUGUAUCUAUUCUGGCUGACUGACACACUUUGGAGAGGCCUGUGAGCAUGAUUUCCUCAAGUGCUGGGACAGCUGGACACUCUGAUGGUGGUAAGGAGAUCAGAUAGGUGCUAUUGGAGACAUGGGGUAGGGACGUCCUUCAGAGAUUCAGCACUGAAUGACCACCUAACUGUAGAACAGGUGUUGACUAUAUUUGCUGCUCCUAAAAGCUUUGGUGUCAGAGCAGAGUGCAAUCACUUACCAAGUCACAGAGCAAUCACGUGAAUGAUAGCACUGAUCCCUGGGAAUGAUUCCUGCCAACAUCAACUCAUUUCAGCGUGUAAUUAUGAUACAGCCGUAAUCUGGAGAGUUGCUGUGGGAAAUGGAUUGCUCCAUGGAUUUGUAAGACACCUAGUAGAUCUCUGUCAUAUGCUUCUGAGUUUCAUAGAGGCAACAAGAUAAAGAGGAUGUGAGCCAGAAACUCCUGUUCCUGAAGCACUGGACCAAUUAUUCACUGAAUUACAGCUUCUGUAAAGUGCUGCUGAUGGCAGCAAGACUACAGAAAUGUCUGAAGGCAUAAUAUGGACCAGCAGCAAUGUAUUUUCAGUGAUGGAAGCCUGUGGUGGAAUGGCCACUGUGUCUAAAAAUCCCAGCUGAGUUCAUACUACUGGCUAAUAACUGGGAAAUGAGUAUCAGCUAUCAAUCCUGGGAGGAAAAUGCAGAAGUCAACCCUGACAUUUUCAGUUUUGUUUCUAUAAAAUGAACCUGCUAUCGACAUUUCACAGAACUUUUUUUCCCUUCAAAUAUGAAAAUGAAAGGCAAAUACUAAAAAAGCUUUCUAAUAUUAGUGCUCAAUUGCAUAGAGCAUUCCUGGCAUUCAUCAAAUUAAAAGAGCCUGCAAUAUUCAUACACUUUCUUUCUUGGAAAUGGAACCUGUGGUUGUUAGCACUGUCUGACUGCCCAAGUGAACUGAUUCUGCAGGAGCUUUGGAUCUUGGUCCAGGCAGCCAUCCUGGAGUCCUCACCUCACCAAGCCAUGUUUCCAGUGUCCAAGGUUACUUCUGUGUAACCUUGUGGGAAAACGGAUGGCUUUUCUUGUAAAUCUUUCAAUGGUGCCACUUCUAGGGCUGCUCUAUGAAGACGAGCCCGUGCAAAAAAAAAUACUGAUAUGUGUGAUGAAAAUAAGUUGUCAUUUAUAUUUUUAUAGAAGGAAUUGAAUACUUGUUUGCAGAAUCCAGGACAUGAAUCCAAAACUGAGGCCUCUUGGCCCUUCUGGGAUGCAAACAGUAAUCUGAAAUAUACAUCUGGCACUGUGCAAAGAGAGAACAUCCAAAAUCUGUCAUAUCCCAUUAUGUUGCCGUGCUGCUGUUAAGCUAUUAUUAGUAUUUAAACUAAAUAUAUCUUCUAGCAUAAUACC
Gallus gallus (chicken) is the source of this 1618-nucleotide long non-coding RNA. NCBI's taxonomy places the organism in Eukaryota, Metazoa, Chordata, Aves, Galliformes, Phasianidae. The record is from Ensembl.